GACGAACGCUGGCGGCGUGCCUAAUACAUGCAAGUCAAACGCUUUUUCUUUCACCGGAGCUUGCUCCACCGAAAGAAAAAGAGUGGCGAACGGGUGAGUAACACGUGGGUAACCUGCCCAUCAGAAGGGGAUAACACUUGGAAACAGGUGCUAAUACCGUAUAACACUAUUUUCCGCAUGGAAGAAAGUGGAAAGGCGCUUUUGCGUCACUGAUGGAUGGACCCGCGGUGCAUUAGCUAGUUGGUGAGGUAACGGCUCACCAAGGCAACGAUGCAUAGCCGACCUGAGAGGGUGAUCGGCCACACUGGGACGGAGACACGGCCCAGACUCCUACGGGAGGUAGCAGUAGGGAAUCUUCGGCAAUGGACGAAAGUCUGACCGAGCAACGCCGCGUGAGUGAAGAAGGUUUUCGGAUCGUAAAACUCUGUUGUUAGAGAAGAACAAGGAUGAGAGUAAAACGUUCAUCCCUUGACGGUAUCUAACCAGAAAGCCACGGCUAACUACGUGCCAGCCGCCGCAGUAA
Molecule: ribosomal RNA, 523 nt
Filed under: uncultured bacterium
Lineage: Bacteria
Description: partial 16S ribosomal RNA
Rfam family: Bacterial small subunit ribosomal RNA
Source: RNAcentral